Molecule: unclassified non-coding RNA, 336 nt
Filed under: soil metagenome
Description: partial contains small subunit ribosomal RNA, internal transcribed spacer 1, and 5.8S ribosomal RNA
Source: RNAcentral
UAGCCGUAGGUGAACCUGCGGCUGGAUCAUUAUCGAGCUAUACUUUUGUACUCUGGCUUCGAACCAGAGGGGGCAGGAUUCAGGAGCGGUGCAUCCUGUGAUGCGCUGUAAGCUCGCCCACAACGGGAUUGGCCGGUCUCUAUGGCUUUCCAGAGUGGUUGUUGCUAUCUUCCCGUGACCACGUUGAUGGAUUGUCAAAGCGCCUUCGAGGCGAAGAGUCAAAGACUACACUGGGCACGUAGCGCCGGCAACCAAAACCCAACGAGGAAUUUUCCUUGUCCACUCCGGUGGAAAACGUAAACGAUAUCAGCCUUACCGGUGGAUCACUCGGUUCGU